RNAcentral lists this ribosomal RNA (253 nucleotides) under uncultured bacterium. RNAcentral describes it as "partial 16S ribosomal RNA". It matches the Rfam family "Bacterial small subunit ribosomal RNA", at positions 524 to 776 of the family's 1533-position model. The record is from RNAcentral.
UACGAAGGGGGCUAGCGUUGCUCGGAAUCACUGGGCGUAAAGGGUGCGUAGGCGGGUCUUUAAGUCAGGGGUGAAAUCCUGGAGCUCAACUCCAGAACUGCCUUUGAUACUGAAGAUCUUGAGUUCGGGAGAGGUGAGUGGAACUGCGAGUGUAGAGGUGAAAUUCGUAGAUAUUCGCAAGAACACCAGUGGCGAAGGCGGCUCAUUGGCCCGAUACUGACGCUGAGGCACGAAAGCGUGGGGAGCAAACAGG